GUUCGUCCGGGACCCGCCUCAAGCCUCGCAGCCUUUCACCCAGUUUCCUCCCGAUUCUUGCUGGGACAACAAAAUUGGGAAGCGGUUCUCGAAACAUACUGUCAAGGCGUAGUUGCAUUUGGUCGCCCAACUCACAUUGAAGCCUAAGACCCAGCUGAUUUCUCUUCAUUUCUGCAAAGUUACUGUACCAUGGCAGGCCAACGAACAUGUCAAAGGAGGAGCAGCAGAGCUGGCCCCAGGGUAAGGAAGCUUCCACAGCUUUAUGUUCACUUACAAAGGUUAUAUUUCUCUUGGAAUUUCAGGUAAUCAGGGCUCCCAGGUAGAGCUGGCUUUGUCACUGAAACACGAAGGGUUUGGUCUAGGUCUUAAUGCUUGCUGCACAGAUGGCCAAUCACUGAGAUGAGUAUUGCCAAGGAAGAAAGCUUUAAUAGGGUGCUGCAGCCGAGGAGAUGGGAGAUCAGUCUCAAAUCCAUCUCCCUGACUGACUAAAAUUAGGGUUUUAUAUAGCAAGGAAGAAAUGUAACCAUGUGUGGGAAAACAGAAAUUAGGGAGUGGUGGUAAGAAGGAGG
RNAcentral lists this small RNA (569 nucleotides) under Pan troglodytes (chimpanzee). RNAcentral describes it as "retained intron". Lineage: Eukaryota; Metazoa; Chordata; Mammalia; Primates; Hominidae. The record is from RNAcentral.